AAGUCGAACGCUUCUUUCCUCCCGAGUGCUUGCACUCAAUUGGAAAGAGGAGUGGCGGACGGGUGAGUAACACGUGGGUAACCUACCCAUCAGAGGGGGAUAACACUUGGAAACAGGUGCUAAUACCGCAUAACAGUUUAUGCCGCAUGGCAUAAGAGUGAAAGGUGCUUUCGGGUGUCGCUGAUGGAUGGACCCGCGGUGCAUUAGCUAGUUGGUGAGGUAACGGCUCACCAAGGCCACGAUGCAUAGCCGACCUGAGAGGGUGAUCGGCCACACUGGGACUGAGACACGGCCCAGACUCCUACGGGAGGCAGCAGUAGGGAAUCUUCGGCAAUGGACGAAAGUCUGACCGAGCAACGCCGCGUGAGUGAAGAAGGUUUUCGGAUCGUAAAACUCUGUUGUUAGAGAAGAACAAGGACGUUAGUAACUGAACGUCCCCUGACGGUAUCUAACCAGAAAGCCACGGCUAACUACGUGCCAGCAGCCGCGGUAAUACGUAGGUGGCAAGCGUUGUCCGGAUUUAUUGGGCGUAAAGCGAGCGCAGGCGGUUUCUUAAGUCUGAUGUGAAAGCCCCCGGCUCAACCGGGGAGGGUCAUUGGAAACUGGGAGACUUGAGUGCAGAAGAGGAGAGUGGAAUUCCAUGUGUAGCGGUGAAAUGCGUAGAUAUAUGGAGGAACACCAGUGGCGAAGGCGGCUCUCUGGUCUGU
This 707-nucleotide ribosomal RNA is filed under the name uncultured Bacilli bacterium. RNAcentral's name for it is "bacterial SSU rRNA". It matches the Rfam family "Bacterial small subunit ribosomal RNA", at positions 59 to 737 of the family's 1533-position model. The record is from RNAcentral. Lineage: Bacteria; Bacillati; Bacillota; Bacilli.